Molecule: small RNA, 624 nt
Filed under: Pongo abelii (Sumatran orangutan)
Lineage: Eukaryota; Metazoa; Chordata; Mammalia; Primates; Hominidae
Description: processed transcript
Source: RNAcentral
GCAAUGAUAUGGGAAAUGAUGAUGCCAUUGGAGGGAAUGUGAGCAAAUAUAUAGUGCUUCCAACUGGCUAUUGUGGACUGCCCAAGAAAGGACAUCUUAUCUUUGAUGCUUGCUUUGAAAGUGGUAACCUGGGCCGGGUGGACCAGGUCUCUGAGUUUGAGUAUGAUCUGUUCAUUAGGCCGGACACUUGUAAUCCACGCUUCCGAGUCUGGUUCAACUUUACUGUUGAAAAUGUGAAAGAAUCACAGGAAAUCUUAUUGAUAACUGAAGUGAAAACUAAGAGCUUGGGCAUAUCCUGGAUGUAAUGAAUUAGGCCCCGUGACAGCAAUGGAAGAAAGUCUGCAGGUUAAUGGUAAAUUGAGGCUUAUGACCCAGCAUCUAAUAAAAGCUUAUUUAAUGUUUUUGAUUAAAUGAAUGAGUAAGUUGGGCCUGCUCCCAAGCCCUAAGCCCUGAGGUCAGGGUGUUAUAAGCCUUUUUCUAAAUACCAAUUUCUGAUACGGAUAGGGCUUUUCAUGUACAUGCUUGAUGUUCACGGGCUUGAUGACUGGGUGGGACUAAGAUAUAAGGUGCAGGUCUCCGGUACCUGCCACUUGGUAAGGUCACGGACCUUGAGGAAUGGUCAUG